Long non-coding RNA from Phlebotomus papatasi, 1271 nucleotides. RefSeq lists it as uncharacterized. The transcript is spliced from 2 exons. Lineage: Eukaryota; Metazoa; Arthropoda; Insecta; Diptera; Psychodidae. The record is from RefSeq and is a predicted model, not a curated record.
UUGUCAAAACAUAACCUUACUUUUCUUGAACGUAAAAAAAUAUAAAACCAUCUGAGGAAAAGAUAUUUUUGUGAAUUUCCUUAUAAGAAUCGCAAAGAGAGAGGAUGCAAAAUUAAGAGAGAAAUCUUACCAGAAAAAUUUUCCGGAAGUCCUGGUCAAAAUGACCCUUGUCCAUCGAGCUCUGUUUACCUGGUUUGUCGUGCUUUUAUUCCUCAUUUUGCUGUGUUUGCGCUUAGAGACCAGAACCCAUUGGAAUUGGUUCGUUGUGUUCAUUCCUCUUUGGAUCUUCGACAUGAUCCUUCUGAUCUAUGUCCUGAUUAAGAUCGUGACAAAGUGGAGGAACCUCACGCGCCUCAAGGAGCUUCUGAUUCAAUACCAGAGCUACAUAUGCACGGUUCUGCUCAAGAUAGCCAUUCAGAUAAUGAUUUGCCUAAAAUUGGAAUAUCCAGGCCUGGAACUCUCCAUUUUCACCGUGAUGAUCCCCAUCUGGAUCCUAUUACCAGCCACAAUUGGCUACGUUUUCAUGCACAUGGUUCGUGCUAAGUGAAUUUAGUCAAAUUUAGUGACCACUGGGGAUGUAUAUUUAAGCUGAGAAAUGGGUGAGUUAAUACAAAAGAAAAGAACUUGAUAAAAAUUUUCCGGAUGCUCGCAUUUUCUACGAUUCAUCGUCACUUCCUGGCGCCUGUCUCGGCUUCGGGCCACCCGCCCUCUUGGCCAUGAUGAUUUGAUCCACUUUGAGAAUCGUCGUGGCUGCUCCAACAGCAUACUUCAGGCCCCACAUUUUCGUGGAGAAUGCAUCGAAAAUCUUGGCUUCCUUGGCAUCCAGAGUGCCCGGAAGUUCACUCUCCAGGUCGAUUCCCUGCGCCAUAGCCCCUCCACGAUGUGCCAAGUGCAGAGCCUGAAGAACUUCAGUGGAAUUCACGCCGGAAUUGUCUGCCAAUGAUUUUGGAAACACUUCAAGAGCUGCAGCGAAUUUCCGGACAGCAUACUGAUCCAAUCCGGGCAGAGUGUCUGCAUACACAGCCAGGCGCUGCGACAAUUCAACUUCAGUGGCUCCAGCUCCAGCCAACAAUCGCCCAUCGCGAGUUAGAGCCUGAGAAAAAAGCAAAAAUUGGACAUUUUGCCAUUUUUCCGGAGUGACAGUACAUGGACAGAAAAUCGCGAGCAGCAGUGUAAUUUUUUUUCUUUCAAGUUUGUGAUUGUUUUUCCUUAGAAUUAAUAUUUCUUGUAAAUAAAUGUAAUAGAAUUAUAAAAAUAAAGAAAAUAUUUAA